GAUGAAGAACGUAGCGAAAUGCGAUACUUGGUGUGAAUUGCAGAAUCCCGUGAACCAUCGAGUCUUUGAACGCAAGUUGCGCCUGAAGCCAUUAGGCCGAGGGCACGCCUGCCUGGGUGUCACACGUCGUUGCCCCCCCAUCUACUCCUUCGGGAUUGCGGGGGGCGGAUGAUGGCCUCCCGUGCGCCUCGUCGCGCGGUUGGCAUAAAUGCCAAGUCCUCGGCGACGCACGCCACGACAAUCGGUGGUUGCGAAACCUCGGUUGCCCGUCGUGUGCGGUCGUCGCGCAUCGAGGGCUCGAAAAAAUUGCCGGGCUCCGGCUCGGCUUUCAACGCGACCCCAGGUCAGGCGGGGUUACCCGCUGAAUUUAAGCAUAUCAAUAAGCGGAGGA
This 391-nucleotide unclassified non-coding RNA is filed under the name soil metagenome. Its description in RNAcentral is "partial contains 5.8S ribosomal RNA, internal transcribed spacer 2, and large subunit ribosomal RNA". The stretch from base 1 to 122 matches the Rfam family "5.8S ribosomal RNA", at positions 35 to 154 of the family's 154-position model. The record is from RNAcentral.